CGGCGUUCAUCCAUCGCUCGGCCGAUCGGCUGCUUCCCCCUCGCCGCCCGUUGCUAGGCAGGCCCGGACGCAGCUGCCGCCGUUUCCUGCCCGCUCGGGGGCGGCCGGCGGCGGGACGCGGCGCCCACCCUCCCUCUCCUUCCCCGCCAUGGAGGGUGACAAGAGAAGAACCAGAGAAGAUACUUGGAAAUCAGAAGAACUGUGGAAACAUCUCAGGGCAUCACAGCCAGAUAGUCAAAAUGAAGACCAAAGGCACAGAGAAAAGAAACUGCAGAAAGAGAAGUCUGUUUAUGACACAGACACUCAUAAACAUGAACGCAAAGACAGAGGGAAGAGCAAGGAAAGAACAAGAGAGAGAGAGCGAUUCAGAUCUGGUGAAAGAGACAGGGAUAAAAUGAGAGAGAGAGAAAGGGGAAAAGAGCACCAGAGAGAAGGAGAGCGAGAGAGAUACAAAUAUAAGCUUCGAGAAUCAAGUAUGGAGAAGGACAGUUACCAUGUACCAAAAGAUAAAGACAAGGAGAGUAAUAGGGAACAGGAUAAAAAACAUAAAAGACAUGAGAUAAAGCAAAUAGAUACACAAAAUAAUCUGAAAUCAUUUGAAGGAAGAGAUAAAGAACAUCACAGAAGAAGAGAAAGCAGGCAUCAUUUGGGUAAGUUGCUUUGGGUUGCUCUUGUACUUUGAAAUAUUUGAUAUUUAGAUAGAAAUACUCUGAAACCACACCUCAUCUGUACAGAGGGGAUAAAGACAGGC
RNAcentral lists this long non-coding RNA (751 nucleotides) under Calidris pygmaea (Spoon-billed sandpiper). RNAcentral describes it as "lncRNA (ENSCPGG00000005309.1)". Lineage: Eukaryota; Metazoa; Chordata; Aves; Charadriiformes; Scolopacidae. The record is from RNAcentral.